This 253-nucleotide ribosomal RNA is filed under the name uncultured bacterium. RNAcentral's name for it is "partial 16S ribosomal RNA". It matches the Rfam family "Bacterial small subunit ribosomal RNA", at positions 524 to 776 of the family's 1533-position model. The record is from RNAcentral.
GACGGAGGAGGCAAGCGUUAUCCGGAAUUAUUGGGCGUAAAGGGUACGUAGGCGGCUGGUCAAGUCUGGGGUCAAAGGCCACAGCUCAACUGUGGAAAGGCCCUGGAAACUGACCGGCUAGAGUGAGGUAGGGGUUGCGGGAAUUCCCGGUGUAGCGGUGAAAUGCGUGGAGAUCGGGAAGAACACCUGAGGCGGAAGCGCGCAACUGGGCCUCAACUGACGCUGAGGUACGAAAGAUAGGGGAGCGAAUGGG